GACGAACGCUGGCGGCGUGCUUAACACAUGCAAGUCGAACGGAAAGGCUCCAGCUUGCUGGAGUACUCGAGUGGCGAACGGGUGAGUAACACGUGGGUAAUCUGCCCUGCACUCUGGGAUAAGCCUGGGAAACUGGGUCUAAUACUGGAUAUGACCUUUCUCCUUAUGGGGUUUGUUGGAAAGUUUUUCGGUGUAGGAUGAGCCCGCGGCCUAUCAGCUUGUUGGUGGGGUGAUGGCCUACCAAGGCGACGACGGGUAGCCGGCCUGAGAGGGUGAUCGGCCACAUUGGGACUGAGAUACGGCCCAGACUCCUACGGGAGGCAGCAGUGGGGAAUAUUGCACAAUGGGCGGAAGCCUGAUGCAGCGACGCCGCGUGCGGGAUGACGGCCUUCGGGUUGUAAACCUCUUUCAGCAGGAACGAAGCGUAAGUGACGGUACCUGCAGAAGAAGCACCGGCUAACUAUGUG
Molecule: ribosomal RNA, 467 nt
Filed under: uncultured bacterium
Lineage: Bacteria
Description: partial 16S ribosomal RNA
Rfam family: Bacterial small subunit ribosomal RNA
Source: RNAcentral